UACGGAGGGUGCAAGCGUUAUCCGGAUUCACUGGGUUUAAAGGGUGCGUAGGUGGGUUGAUAAGUCAGUGGUGAAAUCCCCGAGCUUAACUUGGGAACUGCCAUUGAUACUAUUGAUCUUGAAUACCGUGGAGGUCAGCGGAAUAUGUCAUGUAGCGGUGAAAUGUGUUGAUAUUGGAAGGAACGCCGGUGGCGAAAGCGGCACACUGGGUCUUUACUGACGCUGAGACACGAAAGCCAGGGUAGCGAACGGG
This 253-nucleotide ribosomal RNA is filed under the name uncultured bacterium. RNAcentral describes it as "partial 16S ribosomal RNA". It matches the Rfam family "Bacterial small subunit ribosomal RNA", at positions 524 to 776 of the family's 1533-position model. The record is from RNAcentral.